GUAACUGGGAGUGGGGAGGAGUAAGGAAGGGGCAGAGGUGAGCUGCAGGGAGGGCUCAGAGGGGCCUAAUGCUGUAAAACUGCAUCAACAUGGUGGAGGCAGAACCGGACUCUGUGUUUCCCCCAGAGUGAGUAUAACUAAUGAGUUAUGGAAUUGGGAGGGGCCACAUUCUCUUUCUUCCUUCAGGUGCCCCAUGAACUUCUUGAUCCAUGUCACCCUGCCCAGUGCCUAGUGCCUGCUGGGAAGCCCAUCCCACAGACCCGUUAGCCCGGAUCCCCAGCCCUGGUUACCAGUUGGUGUCUGGCCAAGGUGUGCCUCCACCAAGGCCCCCACAAGGUGCUCUGUCUUCCUUUCUGGGGUGACUCUCUGUGGAGUACAUGAUGUGGAAUAAACUAGGUGAGAUAUAUUUGGUUCAUUGUUGAGACUUAAAGCAAGGAAGGAUCUUUUGAAAUGUGAAGACAUCAUCCACGAACUUCCACUGACAUCCAUGAUUUAUAACUGGAAUAUAAUAAGAUUUAUAAGGUGAUUUUUAAAGCCUAAGGGAAAACUGGAUUUUCUCAACGUGUACCUUUAAUAAAUAAAAUACAAUUUUCAAAAACCAGAGUAUUCCCAGAAGGUCUUUUCUCUGCACCAAAUAAUCCUCAAGGACACAAGAAACUCACAUGGAUACUGCUUAGCUGACAGUCCUAUUGUCCAGCAACUCAUCCAAGACUAAGUCCAAGGGCUUCAAGACUUCAAUUCCCAACCCAUCACCUUCCAGGCUUGAACCCUCAAAGUGUACUUGUAGCCUCUCUGGGUAACAAUUUGCCAAUAUGUAAAAUGAGAACGGAAAUCAUCCUCCUGCUCUUCACGCCCAAGACCCAUGAGGAUGCCAGAGUAAAGGAAUC
RNAcentral lists this long non-coding RNA (887 nucleotides) under Marmota monax (woodchuck). The record is from RNAcentral. Lineage: Eukaryota; Metazoa; Chordata; Mammalia; Rodentia; Sciuridae.